RNAcentral lists this ribosomal RNA (165 nucleotides) under uncultured bacterium. Its description in RNAcentral is "partial 16S rRNA". It matches the Rfam family "Bacterial small subunit ribosomal RNA", at positions 355 to 511 of the family's 1533-position model. The record is from RNAcentral.
UAGGGAAUCUUCGGCAAUGGGGGCAACCCUGACCGAGCAACGCCGCGUGAGUGAAGAAGGUUUUCGGAUCGUAAAGCUCUGUUGUAAGAGAAGAACGUGUGUGAGAGUGGAAAGUUCACACAGUGACGGUAACUUACCAGAGAGGGACGGCUAACUACGUACCAG